Molecule: ribosomal RNA, 385 nt
Filed under: uncultured bacterium
Lineage: Bacteria
Description: bacterial SSU rRNA
Rfam family: Bacterial small subunit ribosomal RNA
Source: RNAcentral
AUUGAACGCUGGCGGCAUGCUUUACACAUGCAAGUCGAACGGUAACAGGUCUUCGGAUGCUGACGAGUGGCGAACGGGUGAGUAAUGCAUCGGAACGUGCCCAGUCGUGGGGGAUAACGCAGCGAAAGCUGUGCUAAUACCGCAUACGAUCUAUGGAUGAAAGCGGGGGAUCGCAAGACCUCGCGCGAUUGGAGCGGCCGAUGUCAGAUUAGCUAGUUGGUGGGGUAAAGGCCCCACCAAGGCGACGAUCUGUAGCUGGUCUGAGAGGACGACCAGCCACACUGGGACUGAGACACGGCCCAGACUCCUACGGGAGGCAGCAGUGGGGAAUUUUGGACAAUGGGCGCAAGCCUGAUCCAGCAAUGCCGCGUGCAGGAGAAGGCCU